Long non-coding RNA from Canis lupus familiaris (dog), 1692 nucleotides. RefSeq lists it as uncharacterized. The transcript has 3 exons. NCBI's taxonomy places the organism in Eukaryota, Metazoa, Chordata, Mammalia, Carnivora, Canidae. The record is from RefSeq and is a predicted model, not a curated record.
CUGCCUCUCCCUGUGUGUCUCUCGGGAAUGAAUGAAUAAAUAAAUAAAAUCUUUUUUUCUUUAAAGAGAGAAUCUCCAACGUGCAAGACAAGUGGAGCUUCUCUGCCUCCGCCCGAGCUGAGGGAUGAAGCUGGGCCGAAUCAUCGAGUCACAGAGCCGAAGGAACCUUAGGAUCUCUCAGUGCUUUGACGUUAUAGACAAAGAAGCUGAAUUUCAAGGAAAUGUACUGUUUGCUGAAGGUUUGACCAAGGCACACUGAGCAGACCAGCUGGCUCCCCCCGAUUCAGUUCUGUCCCCUUCCCAGAGUUGGCCCCCCUUAGGGACUGGCUCGGCAAAGUCAUUCAUCAGGAACUUGCUUGCAGCUCAGACAACAGGACAGUCCUGCUUCUGUUUUCUCUUCUAACAACAAAGGUUUAUGGUGGCCAUAACUGGGCGACUGGGCUGUAUGGCAGUGGACCAACUAUCUGAAUUCCUACAGGGAGGCACGUGAUGGGGACACCACCAUGUACAGAGCUACUCUUGAGAAAUGAAGUGUGAUGGAACAGAGGCCAUCUGGCUCCAGUUCCGGAGUCUGCAAGCAUCCUGAGCUUGGACUUAAGUGGGUCCACUGCACCUGCUCCUUGGGGGUAAAAAGCAAAAUGGCAGGCCCAUGUCCAUAAGCCUUUCUUGAACCACAUCGGCCAUGAAAUGUGCUGCCUAGUCAGAUACUGUGGAUCUGGGAUGACAGCUGUAAAACCCCUAGUGGUGGUUUUCAGUUGCCACCUUCUCACUUGAGUAGGAAUCAACUGGUUUUUCAAUAUUUAUUGGCUGUGGAUCUUUAAAAAAUUAGUUUCCACAUCUGUAAAAUGGGGGUAAUAACAGCCAUCACCCAUUCAUUGUGAGGAUUAAAUAGGUAUUAAAUAAGGCACACCAAUCAGUAUCUAUGGCUUAGCAGGCACUCCGUAAUGCCAGCCUUGACUGUCAUCAAAGCAAAAAGUCAUCAUUUGGUUAACUCUAAGUAUAAGACAGAUUGGCAUGCUUUGGUCUUACUGAAAGGUUUUUAAGUUUGAUGGGUUUACCUGUAAAGACACAGUGAGGAUCACAUUAACUAGCCAUGGAGGAUCCUAGAGCCCUCUUCCUUGCUCAGGGCACUUGUGCUUUUGGGUUUGGUAUACACACCCUAAGACUUACCCAAAAUGGAUGGAUGGAUGUCUGCUAUAAGCAGGCAAGGCUGUGCCUUGUCAGAAAGGCCACAGAGGCUGUUACUCAGUUUCCCAGCUGCACUCACACCCUUAGAACUGCACAACUUUGAGGACAAUUAAAUAAGCUUGCUUAGCUUAUUCAAUCAACAACGAAUAAAAAAAAGUCUCCAUAAAAAUUCUGCCAACAAGUUGAUGAGACAGGAGUACAGAUCCAAAGUCGGGGUGUCUAGGUCAUCUUAUUCUUGUUCUGUAUUAUAAAAAAGAUUGUAUUCCUCUAAAUAACAUUGAAUCUGGAAAACAGAUCAUUGUGGGCUUAUUUCUAAAACUUAUUUCUUGGCUCGCCAGUUAAAGUGAUAAUGAAGCUAUGGAAUAAACUCUCUUCCCAAUAAAAAUGGAAAUCCUUUAAAGAAAGUGAAGCAAAAUUUAUUUUAGGUUAAGUCAAUCAGACAAAAUGUACUUUUCCCUUCCCAUCUAUAAAAGCAGCCUUCCCAAGCCUUCAGAAAAACCAGAA